AUUGAACGCUGGCGGCACGCUUAACACAUGCAAGUCGAACGGCAGCGGGGAGAAGCUUGCUUCUCUGCCGGCGAGUGGCGGACGGGUGAGUAACGCGUAGGGAUCUGCCUGAUAGAGUGGGAUAAGCCGAGGAAACUUGGCGUAAUACCGCAUACGCUCUGAGGUGGAAAGGAUGGGACUACCGAGAGGUGGCCAUUUACUAUCAGAUGAACCUGCGUUAGAUUAGCUAGUUGGUAGGGUAAAGGCCUACCAAGGCGAUGAUCUAUAGCUGGUCUGAGAGGAUGACCAGCCACACUGGAACUGAGAGACGGACCAGACUCCUACGGGAGGCAGCAGUGGGGAAUAUUGGACAAUGGGGGGAACCCUGAUCCAGCGAUGCCGCGUGUGUGAAGAAGGCCUGAGGGGUUGUAAAAACUCUUUCGCCGGUGAAGAUAAUGACGGUAACCGGAGAAGAAGCCCCCGGCUAACUUCGUGCCAGCAGCCGCGGUAA
RNAcentral lists this ribosomal RNA (490 nucleotides) under uncultured bacterium. RNAcentral's name for it is "bacterial SSU rRNA". It matches the Rfam family "Bacterial small subunit ribosomal RNA", at positions 30 to 523 of the family's 1533-position model. The record is from RNAcentral.